GCGGACGGGUGAGUAAUGCUUGGGGAUCUGGCUUAUGGAGGGGGAUAACGACGGGAAACUGUCGCUAAUACCGCGUAAUGUCUAAGGACUAGAGGGUGGGACUUUCGGGCCACCUGCCAUAAGAUGAGCCCAAGUGGGAUUAGGUAGUUGGUGGGGUAAAGGCCUACCAAGCCGACGAUCUCUAGCUGGUCUGAGAGGAUGACCAGCCACACUGGAACUGAGACACGGUCCAGACUCCUACGGGAGGCAGCAGUGGGGAAUAUUGCACAAUGGGGGGAACCCUGAUGCAGCCAUGCCGCGUGGAUGAAGAAGGCCUUCGGGUUGUAAAGUUCUUUCGGUGAUGAGGAAGGGUGAUGUUUUAAUAGAGCAUUACAUUGACGUUAGUCACAGAAGAAGCACCGGCUAACUCCGUGCCAGCAGCCGCGGUAAUACGGAGGGUGCGAGCGUUAAUCGGAAUGACUGGGCGUAAAGGGCACGCAGGCGGUGACUUAAGUGAGAUGUGAAAGCCCCGAGCUUAACUUGGGAAUUGCAUUUCAUACUGGGUGGCUAGAGUAUUUUAGGGAGGGGUAGAAUUCCACGUGUAGCGGUGAAAUGCGUAGAGAUGUGGAGGAAUACCGAAGGCGAAGGCAGCCCCUUGGGAAAAUACUGACGCUCAUGUGCGAAAGCGUGGGGAGCAAACAGGAUUAGAUACCCUGGUAGUCCACGCUGUAAACGCUGUCGAUUUGGGG
RNAcentral lists this ribosomal RNA (728 nucleotides) under uncultured Actinobacillus sp. RNAcentral's name for it is "bacterial SSU rRNA". It matches the Rfam family "Bacterial small subunit ribosomal RNA", at positions 98 to 822 of the family's 1533-position model. Lineage: Bacteria; Pseudomonadati; Pseudomonadota; Gammaproteobacteria; Pasteurellales; Pasteurellaceae. The record is from RNAcentral.